Molecule: ribosomal RNA, 392 nt
Filed under: uncultured bacterium
Lineage: Bacteria
Description: partial 16S ribosomal RNA
Rfam family: Bacterial small subunit ribosomal RNA
Source: RNAcentral
AUACGUAGGGGGCGAGCGUUGUCCGGAAUUAUUGGGCGUAAAGGGUUCGCAGGCGGUCUGAUAAGUCAGAUGUGAAAGGCAAUGGCUCGACCAUUGUAAGCAUUUGAAACUGUCAGACUUGGGUUAAGGAGAGGAAAGUGGAAUUCCUAGUGUAGCGGUGAAAUGCGUAGAUAUUAGGAGGAAUACCAGUGGCGAAGGCGACUUUCGGGACUUAUACUGACGCUGAGGAACGAAAGCGUGGGGAGCAAACAGGAUUAGAUCCCCUGGUAGUCCACGCCGUAAACGAUGAGUGCUAGGUGUUGGGGGUCAAACCUCGGUGCCGCAGCUAACGCAUUAAGCACUCCGCCUGGGGAGUACGUACGCAAGUAUGAAACUCAAAGGAAUUGACGGGG